Molecule: RNA transcript, 2384 nt
Organism: Cynara cardunculus var. scolymus (artichoke)
Lineage: Eukaryota; Viridiplantae; Streptophyta; Magnoliopsida; Asterales; Asteraceae
Gene name: pentatricopeptide repeat-containing protein At1g26460, mitochondrial
Exons: 7
Source: RefSeq, a predicted model, not a curated record
GAACCCUAGCAACACCAAUCACUGUUUAUUAGCUACAUGACUGCACUCUGAUCAGCAAAAACCUUCAAAAAAUGGCGUCAAUGUCGAUCUUAACUCGUAAAUGGAGACCUCUUUCCAAAACCCUAAACCCCAAAUUCAUCACAACCUACGCCUUUCUCUCGCAAGAAGCUCAAUUAGCCGAGGAACCACCAUCGCGGCCGGCUUCUACCACUCCACUACCACCGAACCCCGCUACCGGAAGCCCACUCUACAAUGAGAACUGGCGAAGCCCUAUUCCGAACCUGUCCUCUCAAUCCUCCUCUUCUCUUAUCCCCCUAGGGUUUUCGCAACAACAUCCGUCCUCUCGCAUUGAGGCUCUUUCACAAACCCUAGAUGGUGACGGGAUCGUGAACUUGUUUGCAGAUUGGAUGACGUCACAAAAGUGGUCAGAUAUAAAGCAGUUGUUUGAGUUUUGGAUUAGGUCGUUGGAUAACAGCGGGAAGCCUAACAAACCUGAUGCAAACAUGUAUAAUCAUUACUUGAGGGCUAACCUUAUGAUGGGAGCUUCUGCCGGUGAGUUGCUGGAUCUUGUUGCACAAAUGGAAGAUUACGCGAUUGCACCGAACACCGCUUCGUUUAAUUUGGUGCUCAAGGCAAUGUAUCAGGCUAAAGAAUCUGAAGCUGCUGAGAAAUUGAUCGAUCAGAUGAUCCAAUCUGGAAAAGAAUCAAAAGGUGCGCCUGAUGAGGAGUCCUAUCACCUGGUUGUUCUGUUGCUGCUAAAUCAAAAUCACAUUGAUGCUGCAUUGAAGUACAUUGACUUAACCUUAAAAUCAGGGUAUAUGCUGUCAGUUGAAGUAUUCACAGAGUUUGUCAGCAGCUGUGUGAAAACAGGAAAGCUGGAUACAUUAGUAUCAAUAAUAGAGAGAUGUAAGAAAAUGGAUCAAAACAAAGCCUUGUGUCCACCUUGGAAUUUGUGCAAUUAUAUCAUUGAUGUUGCAAUGCAAGCGGAUAAUAGCGAGUUAGCAUAUUAUGGUCUUGAGUUCAUGGCGAGAUGGAUUGCUCGUGGAGAAAUUGCAAGACCACCUGUGUUGCUUUCUGUAGAUGAAGGAUUAGUAGUAAAUGCACUUACAACUGCUGCUAGAAAUUAUAACUCUAAACUCUUAGAUGGCACAUGGGCAAUCCUCAAACGCUCUUUACGCCAAAAGAAAGUGCCCAGCCCAGAAUCUUAUCUUGCUAAGAUCUUUGCCCAUUCUUCAUUGGGGAAUUUGCAGAAGGCUUUCAGUACUUUGCAUGAAUUUGAGAUAUCUUAUAAAGAUUCUACUAAAGAAGCUGAAGAAGACAUGUUCUCUCCGUUUACCACCUUAUAUCCAUUGGUUGUGGCAUGCUCGAAGAACGGAUUUGCAGCUUUAGAUGCGGUUUAUUAUCAACUAGAGAAUUUGAGCAAGGCAGAUCCUCCAUACAAGUCUGUUGCUGCACUAAACUGUGUUAUUUUAGGGUGUGCGAAUAUAUGGGAUGUUGAUCGAGCCUAUCAAACUUUCAGCGCCAUGGAGACAAGUUUCGGAUUGACUCCUGACAUCCAUUCAUAUAAUGCUCUCCUGUGCGCAUUUGGGAAGCUCCAUAAGAGAGAUGAAGCAGUUAAAGUGUUUGAACACUUGGUAAGUUUGGGUGUGAAGCCUAAUGCAAAGUCGUAUGCUCUUUUAAUCGAUGCUCAUCUCAUCAAGCGGGAUCCAAAAUCUGCACUCUCCACAGUUAAUGACAUGGUGGUCGCAGGGUUUGAACCAACAAAGGAGAUUCUGAAAAAGGUUCGCAGACGUUGUGUCCGAGAGAUGGACGAUGAAAGUAAUGACAAAGUGGAUUCCUUCGCAAAAGAUUUUAAAAUCCGGUUGGGUACAGAGAAUCGCCGAGACUUGCUAUUCAACCUUGAAUUCAGCACUGAGUACGCGUAAGAGGUAGUUGGGCACAAGAGAGCUCUCGUUGCAUCAAAGCUCUUACAUGUAAGGGUUGUGGACAAUGCAUUGCAGGUAUCGUCUGAUGGGCUUGGCAUCUCUUGUAUUUUGGCACUUACCAAGAACUACUACUACUUACGCAGUUUUCGGAGUUCCCCUAAUCUGCUCGUGUGUUGGCCAGCUGGUGAGAUCUUCAAACCUGUGUCAAUUACUUGGUUUUGUGCUCAAUUUAUAGCGCCUUUGGUAGUAAUGACUGAUGAGGAUCGUAGUUUUUUGAUUUUUCUUGUAUUCCUUUGUGCUCAUAAAGGGGCGCAGCGAGGUUGAUGGGAUUUGGCAAAAUAAUGGUAGGGCAAUACAGAUCUAAAAAUUAUUAGGAACUUACGAAGUGUUGAUGUUGUUGCUUGUGGCAUGCAAGAAUUUCUUUCUAAUUUGAAAGGUAUUUUAGAUGCUUUUUCACUC